Molecule: RNA transcript, 3044 nt
Organism: Prunus persica (peach)
Lineage: Eukaryota; Viridiplantae; Streptophyta; Magnoliopsida; Rosales; Rosaceae
Gene name: putative pentatricopeptide repeat-containing protein At1g12700, mitochondrial
Exons: 1
Source: RefSeq, a predicted model, not a curated record
UUUUCCUAUUUUUCUUGAUGGCAUAUCUAGUUAAAAAGUAUUUGAUUUAUACAUUUUGGACUGGAAAAAGGAAUCGAUUAACAUACAUGUCGUGCUUAUUAAAAAACUCCACAUAUGGCACCGUAAGGAUAAAAAUUAAAAAUAUUGACGACGACUCGAGAUAAUUAACCCUCUAUAUUUAAUUCAUUGGUAACAAUUAACCCACUGAAAUAAAUUUUUUGUAAAAAUGACGAAAAAAGAAAAGCCCAACCCUUUCCCGACAUAGCAUUGUUCUCGAAGUAGUUGCCUAAAUGCAAUUAGAAAGGAAAUCUAAUUCGAAACUCAUCGAAACAAAGUUUUUGUCGACUGGAUCAUCAUCCACGCACUUGAGAUCUCCGCCGCUCCCUUUCGAGAUUUGGUCUCGCUUCCCAAAUGUUGAAGGUUGGCUGAGACUCACUGACUCACUGAGAUGCUGAAGAUGAUGAUGCGGAAUAUAGCUGCUGCUUCUUUUUAUUGCAGCAGUCGGAGAUGGAGAGGUAUGCCUUGUCUUCACUCUAACUCUACUCUUGUUGUUUUCGACAACAAUUACUUUGCUUUCUUUCACUCUCAACCUUCGAAACCAAUCAAAUCUACAAGAACCCAGUGAGAGACUCACCCAAAAUCACAAAUGUUGAGGAUGCUUUCAAUGUGAUUGAUAGAAUGCUCCAAAUGCGUCCUCGGCCUUCAGUUGUUCGUUUCACUCAAAUAUUGGGUCAAGUUGCAAAAUUGAAACAUUACUCAGCCGUCAUCUCAUUGUAUAACCAAAUGGGUGUGUCGAGAAUUGGACGUGAUGUUUAUAUUCUAACCAUUGUCAUUAAUUGUUAUUGUCAUUUGAAUCAAAUGGGGUUCAGUUUAUCUGUAUUGGGAAAAUUCUUCAAACUUGGUCUUGAACCAAAUGUCUUUACCUUCACCACUCUGAUCAACGGCUUUCUUCUUGAGAAUAGAGUGGCGGAGGCGGCAGGAAUUUUCAACAAAAUGAUGAAGGCAGGUAAUUGUAAGCCUAAUUUGGUUACUUUCAGCACACUAAUAAGGGGUUUCUGCAUGACGGGUAACAACAGUGCAGCUAUCCAGGUGCUUAGGAAGAUGGACGAAGGAGCUUGUAAGCCUGACGUAGUUUGCUAUAGCAACAUCAUUGACAGUCUUUGUAAGGAUACACUAGUUGAUGAUGCAUUAAACCUCUUCUUAGAAAUGAUGAGCAAGGGGAUUGCCCCAAAUGUCAUUACCUAUACAUCCUUGAUUCAUGGAGUAUGCAAUUUAGGCGAGUGGAAAGAAGCUACAAGGUUGUUGAAUGAAAUGGUGAGUAAAAAUAUCUUUCCAGAUGUGUUCACGUUCAGCGUCUUGGUAGACACACUUUGUAAGGAGUCGUGGAAGCAGAAGGCGAGGUUGAGAUGAUGAUUCAAAGAGAUAUUGAUCCUAAUACAGUUACGUACACUUCACUCAUGGAUGGUUACUGUUUGCGAGGAGAAAUAGGCAAGGCACAAAAGGUUUUUGAACUAAUGCUUAGCAAGGGCUCGAUGGUUGAUGUUGUUAGUUACAGCACACUGAUAAAUGGAUAUUGUAAGCGUAAAAAUAUUGAUGAGGCAAUGAUGCUACUUCGGGAAAUGACUUGUAAGGGACUGGUUCCAGAUACCGUUACUUAUAGCAUUCUUGUGGAUGGUUGUUGCAAAGUGGGGAAAUUAGGUGAUGCACAAAAGUUGUCCUCCGAGAUGCAAGCUUGUGGCCAGCUUCCAAAUGUUCAAACUUAUUCUAUUCUACUGGAUGGCCUGUGUAAAAACCGACAACUUUCUAGGGCAAUGCAAUUGUUUGGAGAGAUGGAAGCGAAGAAGUUGGAUAUUAAUAUUGUGAUUUACAAUAUUCUUAUUGAAGGUUUGUGCAUAGCUGGAAAAAUUGAAUCUGCAAGGGAUCUCUUUUGUGGUUUAUCAUCAAAAGGACUUCGACCUAAUGUGAGGACAUACACUAUAAUGAUUAAUGGACUCUGUAUUGCGGGCCUAACAAGUGAAGCAGAAAAGUUUCUUAUCCAAAUGGAAGAGAAAGGCUGUUCUCCUGAAGGUUGCACCUAUAACACAAUUAUCCGAGGGUUCAUCCAUAAUAAACAGACAUCAACGGCUAUGGUACUUAUUCAAACAAUGGUAGAGAGGGGUUUUUCUGCAGAUGCAUCAACAAUGGAGUUGAUAGUUAAUUUACUGUCGAAGGAUGAAGUAGAUCCUGCUUUGUUGCCUUUGAUAAAAAAAUCACUGUGAAAUUAAUAUGCAUUUGUGGACAAUGAAAUUUGGAACUGCUGCACCUUCAACGAGAAUUAAUACCAGAAAUUAAGGAUGCAAGUGAGAAGGCAUUUUCACCUCCUGCCACACGCACAACCACUGUAAUUUUCCCUUUAUCUAUGAUGAUUUAUUUACUUUGUAUUCCUAUCGCUUAGCAUCUUGCAGUAUAUAGAAGGCCAAAUAUAUAAAUUUAGGUGUGCCUUCUCACGACUCUCCUAGCUCGAAAUGUUUCUACAGAUAAUUGUCUACUGUUUUGGGUAUCAGAAACCUUGACAAAACAUAGACCAUUAUAGGUUAAGUCAAUUGCCAUUGACUUCAAAAUUAGUUAUCUACAGAGGAUCUUUAAAAUCAAAGGUUGGUUUGUCUCUCUUCCCACAUAAUGUAUAAUAUAUAUACUAAUGGCUUCUAGUUUGAGGAUGAAAUAAUGAGCCUAAACUUUGGUAACUCAUUGAUGCUCUGGAGAGGAGUGUGUUAUUUUGGGAUAGUUCCUUGAUUGAACUUGUGUUGAGUACCCAUCUUUAUGUUAACUAAACUAAUUUUCCAAGUUAAAACUCUUUUGUUUCUUGUCUGGUUCAUAUAUACCAGUCAAUUUAGAUGGUUUGCUUGGUUAGAAGUUGGAACUAGUUAGCCAUGAUGGAAAAUACUUGCCCCAAUGCCAGGAUUGGGAUUGGAAGGGAAGGGAGAGUUUUUACGAAGUGAUUUUUGAAUGUAGUGAACUAUAUAUUUUCUAUCAAAAAGAAAAUGACAUGCAUUAAUUUGCAGCUA